UACGUAGGGUGCAAGCGUUGUCCGGAAUCAUUGGGCGUAAAGAGCUCGUAGGCGGUCUGUCACGUCGGCUGUGAAAACCCGGGGCUCAACCCCGGGCCUGCAGUCGAUACGGGCAGACUAGAGCUCGGUAGGGGAGACUGGAAUUCCUGGUGUAGCGGUGAAAUGCGCAGAUAUCAGGAGGAACACCGGUGGCGAAGGCGGGUCUCUGGGCCGAAACUGACGCUGAGGAGCGAAAGCGUGGGGAGCGAACAGG
This 253-nucleotide ribosomal RNA is filed under the name uncultured bacterium. RNAcentral's name for it is "partial 16S ribosomal RNA". It matches the Rfam family "Bacterial small subunit ribosomal RNA", at positions 524 to 776 of the family's 1533-position model. The record is from RNAcentral.